RNAcentral lists this ribosomal RNA (468 nucleotides) under uncultured bacterium. RNAcentral's name for it is "partial 16S ribosomal RNA". It matches the Rfam family "Bacterial small subunit ribosomal RNA", at positions 28 to 507 of the family's 1533-position model. The record is from RNAcentral.
GAUGAACGCUGGCGGCGUGCUUAACACAUGCAAGUCGAACGGUGAAGGCGGAGCUUGCUCUGCUGGAUCAGUGGCGAACGGGUGAGUAACACGUGAGUAACCUGCCCCUGACUUUGGGAUAAGCGCUGGAAACGGCGUCUAAUACUGGAUACGAGCUGCGAAGGCAUCUUCAGCAGCUGGAAAGAACUGCGGUUAGGGAUGAGCUCGCGGCUUAUCAGCUUGUUGGUGAGGUAACGGCUCACCAAGGCGUCGACGGGUAGCCGGCCUGAGAGGGUGACCGGCCACACUGGGACUGAGAUACGGCCCAGACUCCUACGGGAGGCAGCAGUGGGGAAUAUUGCACAAUGGGCGGAAGCCUGAUGCAGCAACGCCGCGUGCGGGACGACGGCCUUCGGGUUGUAAACCUCUUUUGGCAGGGAAGAAGCGUGAGUGACGGUACCUGCAGAAGAAGCACCGGCUAACUACGUG